RNAcentral lists this ribosomal RNA (433 nucleotides) under uncultured bacterium. RNAcentral describes it as "partial 16S ribosomal RNA". It matches the Rfam family "Bacterial small subunit ribosomal RNA", at positions 29 to 507 of the family's 1533-position model. The record is from RNAcentral.
AGCGAACGCUGGCGGCAGGCUUAACACAUGCAAGUCGAGCGGGCACUUCGGUGUCAGCGGCAGACGGGUGAGUAACACGUGGGAACGUACCCUUCGGUUCGGAAUAACGCUGGGAAACUAGCGCUAAUACCGGAUAAGCCCUUUGGGGGAAAGGUUUACUGCCGACGGAUCGGCCCGCGUCUGAUUAGCUAGUUGGUAGGGUAAUGGCCUACCAAGGCGACGAUCAGUAGCUGGUCUGAGAGGAUGAUCAGCCACACUGGGACUGAGACACGGCCCAGACUCCUACGGGAGGCAGCAGUGGGGAAUAUUGGACAAUGGGCGCAAGCCUGAUCCAGCAAUGCCGCGUGAGUGAUGAAGGCCUUAGGGUUGUAAAGCUCUUUUGUCCGGGACGAUAAUGACGGUACCGGAAGAAUAAGCCCCGGCUAACUUCGUG